Molecule: ribosomal RNA, 373 nt
Filed under: uncultured organism
Description: partial 16S ribosomal RNA
Rfam family: Bacterial small subunit ribosomal RNA
Source: RNAcentral
GGGGGGUGCAAGCGUUAUUCGGAAUCACUGGGCGUAAGGAGCGCGUAGGCGGUCUCUUAAGUCAGAUGUGAAAGCCCGGGGCUUAACCCCGGAAGUGCAUUUGAAACGGAGGGACUUGAGUAUGGGAGAGGGAAGUGGAAUUCCUGGUGUAGCGGUGAAAUGCGUAGAUAUCAGGAGGAACACCGGUGGCGAUGGCGACUUCCUGGACCAAUACUGACGCUGAGGCGCGAAGGCGUGGGGAGCAAACAGGGAUUAGAUACCCUGGUAGUCCACGCAGUAAACGUUGAACACUAGGUGUAGCGGGUAUUGACCCCCUGCUGUGCCGCAGCUAACGCAUUAAGUGUUCCGCCUGGGAAGUACGGCCGCAAGGCUA